GACGAACGCUGGCGGCGUGCCUAAUACAUGCAAGUAGAACGCUGAAGGAAGGAGCUUGCUCUUUCUGGAUGAGUUGCGAACGGGUGAGUAACGCGUAGGUAACCUGCCUGGUAGCGGGGGAUAACUAUUGGAAACGAUAGCUAAUACCGCAUAAAAUUGAUUAUUGCAUGAUAGUCAAUUAAAAGGUGCAACUGCACCACUACCAGAUGGACCUGCGUUGUAUUAGCUAGUUGGUGGGGUAACGGCUCACCAAGGCGACGAUACAUAGCCGACCUGAGAGGGUGAUCGGCCACACUGGGACUGAGACACGGCCCAGACUCCUACGGGAGGCAGCAGUAGGGAAUCUUCGGCAAUGGACGGAAGUCUGACCGAGCAACGCCGCGUGAGUGAAGAAGGUUUUCGGAUCGUAAAGCUCGGUUGUAAGAGAAGAACGAGUGUGAGAGUGGAAAGUUCACACUGUGACGGUAUCUUACCAGAAAGGGACGGCUAACUACGUG
Molecule: ribosomal RNA, 497 nt
Filed under: uncultured bacterium
Lineage: Bacteria
Description: partial 16S ribosomal RNA
Rfam family: Bacterial small subunit ribosomal RNA
Source: RNAcentral